RNAcentral lists this long non-coding RNA (2973 nucleotides) under Homo sapiens (human). RNAcentral describes it as "CEBPB antisense RNA 1 (CEBPB-AS1)". Lineage: Eukaryota; Metazoa; Chordata; Mammalia; Primates; Hominidae. The record is from RNAcentral.
AGCAGUGGCCGGAGGAGGCGAGCAGGGGCUCGGGCAGCUGCUUGAACAAGUUCCGCAGGGUGCUGAGCUCGCGCGACAGCUGCUCCACCUUCUUCUGCAGCCGCUCGUUCUCGGCCGUGAGCUCCAGGACCUUGUGCUGCGUCUCCAGGUUGCGCAUCUUGGCCUUGUCGCGGCUCUUGCGCACGGCGAUGUUGUUGCGCUCGCGCCGGAUCUUGUACUCGUCGCUGUGCUUGUCCACGGUCUUCUUGGCCUUGCUCUUGACCUGCGAGGGCGCCGGCGCGGCCCCCGCGUAGCAGGCGGUCGGGGGCGCCUUGGCGUCAGCGGGGCUCGGCGUGCCGGGCGGGCUGGACGAGGAGGACGUGGAGAGGCUCCCGCUGCUGCCGCUCGGCACCGCCUGGUAGCCGAGUUCUUGCCCCCGUAGUCGUCGGAGAAGAGGUCGGAGAGGAAGUCGUGGUGCUGCCCGGAGGAGGCGGGCGCGGGGGCGGGCGCGGGCGGAGCCGCCUCGAAGGUGUCCGUGGCCGUGGCGGGCGCCGGGGCCUGCGGCGCGCCCAGCGGCUCCAGGUCCCCGGCUUUAGAAAGAAGACUUGACGCCUGUGACGACUCCCCUCUUAAGCCACAGACAAUAUGAGGACCCCGGGGGUCGGCGCGACCGGGCAGGAUCGCGCCCCGCUUGGGGCUGGACCCUGGUCCACGGAGCCCCGCCCCUAGCCCCGCCCACCACACCUGCCGCCUGCUCGAGGCUUGGACACGCCCGGGUCUUCUCUUGCCCCGCGCUGCGCCACCCGACCUGGGCCCUGGGAUGGGGCAGGGGCGGGGGGUGCUCGGCCCUGCCACACUGUGUGACCUUGGGAAGAUGCUUUUGCUGCUGCCAUUUCACAGACGGGAAAGCGACAACGGCCCGCCUGGACUUGAACACAGGCCCAAGGCCUUCUGACCACUUGCCCGCCUCUGCUGGUCUUGCUGUCUGUCCCCACGGCCUUCACUACUGUGUCCCUGGUGCCUAGAACAGAGCCUGGUACAUAGAAGGUGCUCGAUGAAUGCUUUUCCCUAUCCCAUUUUCAAGAGGAGAAAACUGAGGCGAUUUGCCAAGGGGAGAUCCACGUGGCUGCUUUGACAGAGAGUGUUCUGCAAAAGGGCUUAGAAAUCAGCCAGCAGGUGGCAGGUUCUGGGACUGCAGGAGCCAUUCACAUGCGUGAAGAUCCGCUGGGCGCCCUUGCUCUGGGAUCAGGAAAGGCCGGUGCCAUGGAUGUGAUAGAUGCACACAGGGCAUCAGCAGGCCGCCGAGAGGAACCAGAGUGUCCAACGAACAGAAAACAGUGCUCAACCUUCACAUUUAUCGAAUGUUCCUUGGCACAUGCUGUAAUUCUGGCCCUAAAGACACAUUCAUGGACAAGACAAGCAAUUCCUGUUCUCGUGGAGCUGAAAUUCUCCUGGGGGAAGACAAGCACUAAACAAGAUCAAUGAUUAAAGUAUAGAUUGUAUUAGAUUCUGGUCAGCACUAUGGAGGAAAAUACAGCAGGGGAGCAGAGCAGGAGUUCUGGGAGAUUUGAUUUUUUGUUUUCUGGGGUUUUUUGUUUGUUUGUUUUUUGAGACAGGGUCUCACUGCUGGAGUGCAGUGGCACGAUCUCUGCUCACUGCAGCCUCUGCUUCUUGGGCUCAGGUGAUCCUCCCACCUCAACCUCCCAAGUAGCUGGGACCACAGGGGCAUGCCACCACACCCAGCUGAUUUUUUAAUGUUUUGUAGAGAUCAGGUCUCAUUAUAUUGCCCAAGCUGGGGGAGUUGAUUUUAACUUUAUGUUAGAGUAGUCAGGGAAGACCUCACUGAGGUGACAUUUAAGCAAAAACCUGAAUGUGGUGAAGCAGGUAUCUGGGGGACCUUGGACCACACAAAGGGAACAGCAAGUGCAAAGGCCCUGAGGUAGGAGCACGUAGUUGUGGUGAUGACGGAGAGUAGCAGGAAUUUGUGUCAUAGAAAUAGUGGGGGCUGGCCAGGCACAGCGGCUCAUGCCUGCAAUCCUAGCACUUUGGGAGGCCGAGGUGGGUGGAUUACUUGAGGUCAGGAGUCUGAGACCAGCCUGGCCAACAUGGUGAAACCCCAUCUCUACUAAAAAUUAAAAAAAAAAAAAUGGCCAGGCAUGGUGGCGUGCAUCUGUAAUCCCAGCUAUUCAGGAGGCUGAGACAUGAGAAUCACUUGAACCCGGGAGGCGGAGGUUGCAGUGAGCCGAAAUUGUGCCUCUGCACUCCAACCUGGGUGACAAAGCAAGACUCUGCCUCCAAAAAAAAAAAAAUGGAACAUGGAAACAUGGAAUGGGAGAAAAUAUUUGCAAAUCAUAUAUCUGAUAAGGGGUUCAUAUCCAGAAUACAUAAAGAACUGUUACAACUCAACAGCAAUAAAAACAACUCAAUUAAAAAUGGGCAAAGGACUUGAAUAAACAUUUCUCCAGAGAAAACUGUGAAUGGCUAAUAAUCACAUGAUAAGAUACUCAACAUCACUAACCAUUAAGGAAAUACAAACCAAAACUGCAAUGAGGCGCAACACUUUGGUGGAUCACCUGAGGUCAAGAGUUGGAGACCAGCCUGGCCGACACGGUGAAACCCCGUCUCUACUAAAAAUACAAAAAUUAGCUGGGCGUGAUGGUACGUGCGUAUAGUCCCAGCUACUUGGGAGGCUGAGGCAGGAGAAUCACUUGAACCUGGGAGGUGGAGGUUGCAGCAAGCCAAGAUCACGCCACUGCACCCCAGCCUGGGCAACUGAGUGAGACUCCAUCUAAAAAACAAACAAAACGCAAUGAGAAGAGAGGAUUUUGAAUGUUCCCGACACAAAGAAAUGAUAAACGCUUGAGGUAAUGGAUAUCCUAAUUACCCAGAUUUGAUUAUUACACGUUGUAUACAUGUAUUGAAAUAUCAUUUUGUAACCCAUGAACAUGUACAAUUAUGUGUCAACUAAAAAUAAAAGGAAUAAAACACAAUGAG